Molecule: small nuclear RNA, 97 nt
Filed under: Fukomys damarensis (Damara mole-rat)
Lineage: Eukaryota; Metazoa; Chordata; Mammalia; Rodentia; Bathyergidae
Description: 7SK RNA
Rfam family: 7SK RNA
About the family: 7SK was discovered as an abundant small nuclear RNA in the mid-70s but a possible function has only recently been suggested. Two independent studies have found that 7SK RNA binds the CDK9/cyclin T complex (known as elongation factor P-TEFb).
Source: Rfam by way of RNAcentral
AUGUGAGUAUGAUCUGGUUGUGACAUCUGUCACCCAUUGAUCCCCAGGGUUGAUGCAGCCGGAUGUGGGCAGGUGGCCCUGUUCCUCCCUCACACAU